This 469-nucleotide ribosomal RNA is filed under the name Lacticaseibacillus paracasei. Its description in RNAcentral is "bacterial SSU rRNA". It matches the Rfam family "Bacterial small subunit ribosomal RNA", at positions 28 to 469 of the family's 1533-position model. Lineage: Bacteria; Bacillati; Bacillota; Bacilli; Lactobacillales; Lactobacillaceae. The record is from RNAcentral.
GAUGAACGCUGGCGGCGUGCCUAAUACAUGCAAGUCGAACGAGUUCUCGUUGAUGAUCGGUGCUUGCACCGAGAUUCAACAUGGAACGAGUGGCGGACGGGUGAGUAACACGUGGGUAACCUGCCCUUAAGUGGGGGAUAACAUUUGGAAACAGAUGCUAAUACCGCAUAGAUCCAAGAACCGCAUGGUUCUUGGCUGAAAGAUGGCGUAAGCUAUCGCUUUUGGAUGGACCCGCGGCGUAUUAGCUAGUUGGUGAGGUAAUGGCUCACCAAGGCGAUGAUACGUAGCCGAACUGAGAGGUUGAUCGGCCACAUUGGGACUGGGACACGGCCCAAACUCCUACGGGAGGCAGCAGUAGGGAAUCUUCCACAAUGGACGCAAGUCUGAUGGAGCAACGUCGCGUGAGUGAAGAAGGCUUUCGGGUCGUAAAACUCUGUUGUUGGAGAAGAAGGUCGGCAGAGUAACUGUU